CUCAUUAAAUCAGUUAUAAUUUAUUUGAUGAUUACUUUUCUACAUGGAUAACCGUAGUAAUUCUAGAGCUAAUACAUGCGACAAGUCCCGACUUUCGUGGAAGGGAUGUAUUUAUUAGAUAAAAAACCAAUACGGAGCAAUCCGUUGGUUGGGUGAUUCAUAGUAACUGUUCGGAGCGCAUGACCUCGUGUCGGCGCCAGUUCAUUCAAAUUUCUGCCCUAUCAGCUUUUGACGGUAGUGUAGUGGACUACCGUGGCAGUGACGGGUGACGGAGAAUUAGGGUUCGAUUCCGGAGAGGGAGCCUGAGAAAUGGCUACCACAUCCAAGGAAGGCAGCAGGCGCGCAAAUUACCCAAUCCUGACACAGGGAGGUAGUGACAAAAAAUAACGAUACCGGUCCUUUUAGGUCUGGUAAUUGGAAUGAGUACAAUUUAAAUCCCUUAACAAGGAACAAUUGGAGGGCAAGUCUGGUGCCAGCAGCCGCGGUAAUUCCAGCUCCAAUAGCGUAUAUUAAAGUUGCUGCAGUUAAAAAGCUCGUAGUUGGAUUUCUGGUGUGGUGUGCCUGGUCCGCCCGCGUGAGUGGGUGUGUAUCGGCGCGCGCCUACCAUGUUUGCCGGGGAGCCCCGCUACCCUUUACUGGGCCGGCGGGUGCCAUCUGGCUCGUUUACUUUGAGUAAAUUAGAGUGUUUAAAGCAGGCUUGACGCUGUGAAUACUAUUAGCAUGGAAUAAUGAGAUAGGACUUGGGUUCUAUUUUGUUGGUUUCUAGGACCGAAGUAAUGAUUGAUAGGGACAGUUGGGGGUGCUAGUAUUCAACGGCCAGAGGUGAAAUUCUUGGAUUCGUUGAAGACUAACUUAUGCGAAAGCAUUCACCAAGGAUGUCUUCUUUAAUCAAGAACGAAAGUUGGGGGAUCGAAGACGAUCAGAUACCGUCGUAGUCUCAACUAUAAACGAUGCCAACUAGGGAUACGUGGAUGUUGCUUAAUCGACUCCAUGUGCACCUUACGAGAAAUCAAAGUUUUUGGGUUCCGGGGGGAGUAUGGUCGCAAGGCUGAAACUUAAAGGAAUUGACGGAAGGGCACCACCAGGAGUGGAGCCUGCGGCUUAAUUUGACUCAACACGGGGAAACUUACCAGGUCCAGACAUAGGAGGAUCAG
RNAcentral lists this ribosomal RNA (1154 nucleotides) under uncultured Cercozoa. RNAcentral's name for it is "bacterial SSU rRNA". It matches the Rfam family "Eukaryotic small subunit ribosomal RNA", at positions 97 to 1243 of the family's 1831-position model. The record is from RNAcentral. Lineage: Eukaryota; Cercozoa.